GUCCCCAUCGUCUAGCGGCCUAGGACACCGCCCUUUCACGGCGGUAACUGGGGUUCGAACCCCCAUGGGGACGCCA
Molecule: transfer RNA, 76 nt
Filed under: Acidithiobacillus sulfuriphilus
Lineage: Bacteria; Pseudomonadati; Pseudomonadota; Acidithiobacillia; Acidithiobacillales; Acidithiobacillaceae
Also listed under: 3 other names
Description: tRNA-Glu
Rfam family: tRNA
About the family: Transfer RNA (tRNA) molecules are approximately 80 nucleotides in length.
Source: RNAcentral